CCAAUAGCGUAUAUUAAAGUUGCUGCAGUUAAAAAGCUCGUAGUUGAAUUUCGGGACUAAUAUGUCGGUCGUGCCUCGGUACGUACUGGUAUUUUCGGUUUCUCCCUUCUGACGAACCUUGAUGUCAUUAAUUUGGUGUCUUGGGGAAUCAGGACUGUUACUUUGAAAAAAUUAGAGUGUUUAAAGCAGGCUCACGCUUGAAUACAUUAGCAUGGAAUAAUGAAAUAGGACGUUUGAUUCUAUUUUGUUGGUUUCUAGGAUCGACGUAAUGAUUAAUAGGGAUAGUUGGGGGCAUUAGUAUUCAAUUGUCAGAGGUGAAAUUCUUGGAUUUAUUGAAGACUAACUACUGCGAAAGCAUUUGCCAAGGAUGUUUUCAUUAAUCAAGAACGAAAGUUAGGGGAUCGAAGACGAUCAGAUACCGUCGUAGUCUUAACCAUAAACUAUGCCGACUAGGGAUCGGAUGAUGUUAAUUUUUUAAUGACUCAUUCGGCGCCUUACG
This 499-nucleotide ribosomal RNA is filed under the name uncultured Glomus. RNAcentral describes it as "SSU rRNA". It matches the Rfam family "Eukaryotic small subunit ribosomal RNA", at positions 591 to 1092 of the family's 1831-position model. Lineage: Eukaryota; Fungi; Glomeromycota; Glomeromycetes; Glomerales; Glomeraceae. The record is from RNAcentral.